ACGGCACGUGCGCCCUUAGUUAUAAGUAGCAUGAUCUAAAAAAUGAUCACAAAAAAAUACAAAAAAUAGUGAUAAUGAACUUGUAAACUAAGUUUUAUGUUUAUGUUGCCAACACUGUAUGGAUUUUGAUGUACACAUGCACAGGCCAGAUACAUACAGAAAAUUAUAAAUUAAUCGGUUCAAUAUAUAAGUAUGGUUUUUAUUCUUAUCAAAGAUACAAGGCUUAUAAUAUAGCACGCCAGAAGUCGCACUAAGAAAUUAAUUUAAUGAUUUUUAUCUCAGAAAAAAUCCGACAUAACCAGUCUCCAUAGAAAAGAACAGGCAGGUUGACAAACUGCAUGCAUUUUUGUUGCCCAACCACUUUAUGCUCACAUAUAAAGUCUUUUUAAUAUGACAUUCAAAAUGCUAAUGAUGAUACACAUUACUGUUCAAUAAGUUAUAUUUCCGUUUUCUAUCAUUUAAACAAUAUUUUCCUGUUUAUCACCAGACAAACAAUUGUUUCAGGAAAUAUACAAGGAAAUUAUAUUACUUGCAUCAAAUAUAUUGGGGAAACUUUCUAACCAUCAUUAGAGAAUUUCAACAAAAAUGAGAUUCCUGCUCUUGGUUGUUAUUCACAUCGUUCUGGCAGAAGAUACAUUUGGUGAAAUUGUACUGUCAAACAUAACAACAAAUCAUUAUGUAGGAGAAACAGUUAUUUUGUCAUGCAUUUUUUCUGAUGAAGCCUCAGGAAACAGAUGGCGCCGUGCUGGUGCAAUUAUUGCAACAUCCUCGAAUGUAACCUUGGCAGACCCUGAGGGUAAACGAUUCAAUGUCGUCGAGGACAAAGAACAAGACAUAUAUAAUAUUGAAAUAUCUGAUGUGACACAAUUUGAUUCUGGUCUUUACUGGUGUGAAAUGCAAAGAGGUGGGCAGAUUACACAGCAAAGGAUCACAUUGUUCAUAUUAGGCAAGUUAAAUUUUAGAUAUAUUUUCAAAAUGGUAAAAUGUCUACCAAAUUUAAACGUGAAAUUUGCAAUAUUCUGCAGCACAUGCUUCCGAGUUGAUACGACAUUCCAAGGUUUACAUUUCCUAUGCUACUUACAUAAAAGCUAAUGUACAAAGAGUUCCAAGUGUGAAAAUGCCUUCAAAAGUUUUCCAUAAGCCAUCAUGAUUCGGUUGACCGUUAUGGAAUAUCAGUGUCACAGAAGACCACGGAUAUGUUCCACUUGCGAAAUCACAAUUUCGAUCUCUUUCCUUAAUUUUGACAUUACGGAAUGCAACUUAUCCCAAGAUAUUACUUGUAAUACUAUUGAUUUUCCUAUCUCUCUCAUGAUUUAUCCUUAAAUACAUUCAGUUUUGUUGUUACAUCCAAUAUUUUCUCAGAUGUUUACAUUAUCAUUUAAAAACAAACUACAUCAAAAAAUAUGUUAGGCCACAGAAAAGACGCCCCUUAACAUAAAUGUCCCUGAAAAAAUACUAUAUAUUACAAUGCAUUAUUUUCUUUUGCAAAACCAUUGCACCUAAAGUAUUUAACUAUAAGCAAGCAUUGCAGGACCUUGAUUUAGAAGAAUACCUAUAAACCGCUCUGACAUAUGACUGUUCCCACUCGCCUUGUAUGUACAGCCCCUCUGGCCAUGUUAUUACUGGGGAUCUAAACAUAAUUCAACAUGAACAUCUUCAAAAGGUAAUAUCUCAUGGUACUAAGUUCAGAGAACCCCAACACAUCAAUUAGAACCAUAAAUUCAAUAUAACUAUGGAUUCCAUUGAGGACUACGCCAGAGCAUGGGCUUAACGAGAAGAAGUUGAACUGGACACUUUGUCAGAAUGGAUCAAAACAAUAAGGUCUCUGAUAAAACGUCGAAUUCAUAAGCUGAAAAACUGUGUGAAUGAUCGACCAAUGUCCGUUUUCAGAGACAAAGAAGCUGUGAAAUGUCCAUCAUCUCCUAACGAUAAAUAUGUUGUUGAUCCUGCGGACAAAGCUUCAAAUAAUAUUGUCUUUGUAUGUAAAUUGUACUACUAGGAUAAGA
Long non-coding RNA from Mytilus californianus (California mussel), 2006 nucleotides. RefSeq lists it as uncharacterized. The transcript is spliced from 3 exons. Lineage: Eukaryota; Metazoa; Mollusca; Bivalvia; Mytilida; Mytilidae. The record is from RefSeq and is a predicted model, not a curated record.